CGCGAAUUGCCCUUCGGGGUGCCCAGGCGCGAAUACUUUGCAAUACACGAAAGUGUGACUGGGUCGUCCCGAGUGCCGACCGCUGAGGUUGGCUUUUACCCAGUCUAGAACGCUGGGGGAAUAAGGAGAGGGCAAGUCUGGUGUCAGCCGCCGCGGUAAUACCAGCUCUCCCAGUGGUGUGGACGUUUAUUGGGCCUAAAGCGUCCGUAUCUGGCUGAACAAGUCCCCUGUUAAACCCACCGAUUUAAUCGUUGGAUCUGCGGGGGAUACUGCUCGGCUAGGGGACGAGAGAGGCAGACGGUAUUCCCGGGGUAGGGGUGAAAUCCUAUAAUCCCGAUAAGACAUCCACUGGCAAAGGCUGUCUGCUAGAACGCGCCCGAUGGUAAGGGAUGAAAGCUGGGGGAGCUAACCGGAUUAGAUACCCGGGUAGUCCCGGCUGUAAACUAUGCAGACUAUGUGUUUGGACGGCCACGUGCCGUUCUAGUGCCGCAGGGAAGCUGUUAGGUCUGCCGCCUGGGGAGUACGAUCGCAAGAUUGAAACUUAAAGGAAUUGCCGGGGGAGCAC
Molecule: ribosomal RNA, 565 nt
Filed under: uncultured archaeon
Lineage: Archaea
Description: bacterial SSU rRNA
Rfam family: Archaeal small subunit ribosomal RNA
Source: RNAcentral